This 402-nucleotide ribosomal RNA is filed under the name uncultured Devosia sp. Its description in RNAcentral is "bacterial SSU rRNA". It matches the Rfam family "Bacterial small subunit ribosomal RNA", at positions 355 to 774 of the family's 1533-position model. The record is from RNAcentral. Lineage: Bacteria; Pseudomonadati; Pseudomonadota; Alphaproteobacteria; Hyphomicrobiales; Devosiaceae.
UGGGGAAUAUUGGACAAUGGGCGCAAGCCUGAUCCAGCCAUGCCGCGUGAGUGAUGAAGGCCCUAGGGUUGUAAAGCUCUUUCAGUGGGGACGAUAAUGACGGUACCCACAGAAGAAGCCCCGGCUAACUUCGUGCCAGCAGCCGCGGUAAUACGAAGGGGGCUAGCGUUGUUCGGAUUUACUGGGCGUAAAGCGCACGUAGGCGGGUCGUUAAGUCGGGGGUGAAAUCCUGGAGCUCAACUCCAGAACUGCCUUCGAUACUGGCGACCUAGAGUCCGGAAGAGGUGAGUGGAACUCCUAGUGUAGAGGUGGAAUUCGUAGAUAUUAGGAAGAACACCAGUGGCGAAGGCGGCUCACUGGUCCGGUACUGACGCUGAGGUGCGAAAGCGUGGGGAGCAAACA